This 67-nucleotide transfer RNA is filed under the name Alitta succinea. RNAcentral's name for it is "tRNA-Thr". It matches the Rfam family "tRNA". Rfam says of the family: Transfer RNA (tRNA) molecules are approximately 80 nucleotides in length. Their secondary structure includes four short double-helical elements and three loops (D, anti-codon, and T loops). The record is from RNAcentral. Lineage: Eukaryota; Metazoa; Annelida; Polychaeta; Phyllodocida; Nereididae.
GUAUAUAAAGCUAAUUACUUGAAGCGCUGGUCUUGUAAACCAGAGACAGAAAUCAUUUCUAUAUACU